CCUCAUGUGGAGGUGGAGAUGCAUCACUGAGAAGAGAAGGAUGAGGGCUUGAAAAUGUACUUCUAUGUGUGAAAGGUUGGAGGAUAUGGUUGUGAAUCUCUGUCUGCCACACUUUCAUACAACAGCUCACUGCAAUAAGCUAUGUGCAGAUGGCUACGAUGUCACAAACCUUGUGUCAGCUGACCCUGCUCUCCGUAAGCGGGGUUUCAAAUUGGAGUACUUCCUACGGCCACCUGUACAGGUGACAUUGAAGUUUGGCUUCCAGGUGGAGCUGUGCAGGGUGGAUGUGGAGCUGUGGCCCUGGGGUAUGGAUCGAGGACAGGCCUGCAAGAGACUGGAGAUCAGCACCAGUUCUGAUCUGCUACCUUCCACAGACCACAGACAGGUUCAGCAAAAGGAAGGAAUACAGGUGCAAGUGAAGGACCAGAGUGAACAGAACAGAGAAAAACAUCAAAAGCGUGACAGUAAAUCUCAGCAGAGUAAUGGCCACCAGUGGAGUCUUCAGGCCCAAAAGUGGGGGGAAGAGUCUCCAGAUGGCUCUGCACAAAGAGGCCAUGUUUUCAAGUGCCAGUCCAACACAGAAUCCAGCAAUCCUGAGCCCGAGUUUAAACUGGUAGGUCGUUGUGAACUUAGGGAAGACACGCAAGUCUGUUUCACACGUUCAAAUUUUUGUUCUCGGGCCCCUUUCGUCUCCCCGCCUCCUCCACACCCUGCAAUUUGUCGGCAAGAGGAGCUGUGGAGUCGCGGUCUCCCUUCUCUUUGUGCUGUGACGCAGCUUCGUGUCACUUUGCCGUUUGGUGGUGCGGCGUCUUCUCUUGGCUUGAAGACUUUGGUUGUGUGGGGACAACCGGCCCGCUGCUGCCCUGCUGAGGAAGUGGAGAGGAUUAAAAGAGUCCACGAGGCCAGUGCAAGACGGCUGCCACGACCUGCGUUUCCUCUCACAUCUGCCAGACAGACCACACAACCACCACAAGCACCUCCGAGUUCUUCUAUCCCAGAGGAAUUCCUUGACCCAAUAACACAGGAGGUGAUGAUGCUGCCCAUGCUGCUGCCCAGUGGUGUGUCAGUGGACAACACCACUCUGGAAGAGCACCAGAAGAGGGAGGCAACUUGGGGUCGACCACCAAACGACCCCUUCACUGGCGUCCCGUUCACUUCGACCUCCCAGCCUCUUCCUAACCCCCAGCUCAAAAGCCGUAUUGACCAAUUUCUGCUGCAGAAAGGGAUGAUGAGCAGGGACGGGAUGCUGGGGAGACAAGAACAGGGAGAGAAUCCACAGGCCUCCAGACUUAUAGCCUCCAAGCUACAUGGACAGUCCUGGAACUCUCCACAUCCCUCUACAUGCUCAAAAAACAGUACUGCUAUUCAGUACAAUGCAGACUCCAUUAACACGAAGGCAAUUACGCAAAUAGAAGGUGCUGAAUCAGGACCUUCAUCGGAUUAUAGGAAUCACAUGUCUAACACUCUUAGUACUGAUAGUAAAUCGGAGCUGGACAGAAGAAAGAAAAGAGAUCUAAGGGAAACUUCCAGAGAAUCAACAGAAGUGCUGACAGCUGAGAAACAACUACUACCUCAAACAAAAAGACCAAGAAAUGAUUCUACUCCUGCCCCCAACAGCACCUCUCAUGAGCAGCGUUUGUCAGCAAGUCUGGAUGAGGCGCUCUUCUCUGCCCUGCAGGGUCGACCCUCCUUCACUUCAAACUUGGUCCAGCAGAGGCAGCUUACUCCAGACCCCGAACCACUAAAACCCACCCAGCAGAGUCAGAGUUCAGGCUUUCCAGGCGUGGCUUCAGGUGAGAAGACCUGCUCUGCAUGUUUCUCUUCGAUCUCCGCUUACUCCACAACAGCAUCAUCCAUCUACCGCCUGACCUGCGGCCACUUUCUGUGCCGUGCCUGUCUGCAGAGGGAAUCAAAACCACCAAAGUCUGCCACUAAACCAACAUCCAGUCACAUCUCCUGUCCAACCUGCCAAAGCUCGACCCCACGCAGCCACAUCAUACGUGUGCAUCACUGACAGAUGGCUUCAGAAGGAAACUGACUGUGAGCAAUAGAGGAGCGUGACAAGACAGUGGAGAGUGACAGGAAAGCAGGGAGAAGGACCUACAACAAAGGGCCAUAGACUGGAUUCAAACCCAUGACCACUGCAUCAGGAACUACAGCACCCGUCCACAGGUCACCCGUUCAACCAGCCGAUCCACCAGGACGCCCUAUAUUUCAUUUUAACCAAAGUGACUGUGUCAAUAUCCAUGAUAGAAGAAUAGCAAAUGUACUAAACCUAGCUAUCACAUCACACAACUCAUGCAAAGUAACGCUGCCUUCUGCAUGCAGUACUUCCUCUUAAAACUCUCCCAACAUGUGCUUCAUCCUGCUUGCGUUGGAAAGUCUAAUGUUACGACACUUGACUCUAGCAGAUGACACACUGAAAAUCAGCAACAGUCAGCACAUAUUGGCAAAGUAGCUGCUGUAUAAGAUUAGCAAUGUAAGAUAUUUGACUUUCAGCUUGUCUGACUCUGAGGACUUGCCGUAGUAAAGCCUCCAAUCACACAUCAGGGAUCUCACAUUUUGUAUUGAUUCAUGAUCUACAAUAUCCAGUCUUCUUUAGCAAAGUGUUAUCCUAUCAGCAUAUUAAUCUCAGUGCAACUUUUCCUUUCAGAUCUACUGAUAACUACAUGUUGAAAACAGCAGUUAGACUGCUGGUUACAUCAAAACUCAUUCAUGUGAAGCAGUUUGUCUUGAUAGAUUAAUAGAUUCAGCACGCCUUAGUAGACGGUUACAGAGAGCAUGUUUUGCCUACUUGCCCACUGAAGCGUAACGACUACUUUUGCAUGUCUGACAGGGUUUUAACUUGGCAUAGCUUUCAGACAGCUCUUCAAUCCAAAGCCGAGCAGGACCGUUUUGCACGAUAGCUAGUCAUUUAAUUAGGAAAACAUCUUCCUAAACAGUGGCGUGAAUCCAAAAACAUACAGUAGUGUGUCAGUAACUAAGCUGGGAUUCAGUCUUUAAUGUUGUGCUUUUUAUCUUUGUUGAUGAAAAGAAUGUAAUCUGCUUGUAUGGCCACUCAUACAGCUGUACAUUUUAUCUAAAGCAAAAAACUCUGCAGGUCAAAACCCACAGGUCAUGCGCACUGAUCCUGCAGAAUAUUGUUAGAGCCUGUCUGUGUUUUAACAGCAGCCAAAACUGGACAAAAGUCUACAUUUGCAGCCUACAGAUUACAUUUAUUGAAAAGCUCAUGGUACCAAAAACGUGCUGUGUUGUCAGUAUUAUAGCCACGUCACAACACAGUUUACCCAAAAUAGACUACUUUAAAGCACUUUGUAAACCUUACACAUAUGCAUUAUAAAGGGAAACAUGCAUCUGGCAGCUGAAUUUUUGAAGUUUUUGCACACAAAUUUAUGACUAGCUAAUGACUAGCUCAAAACAGUAUUUUUAUUUCUUUCAUUUAUUCUAGAUUAUUCAAUUAUUUUUGCAAAAGCAGCAGAAAAAUAAUAGCAACAGCAAAAUGUGCAGGUGACAUACAAAACAACCCUAAAGGCUUGUAAAAGAAAUCUCACCUCAGAAUGCAUUAAAAGCACAUACAAAAGUCAUAAAUCUGCACAAGCAAACAAACCUCCUGCACACAGGCACUAAAGUACACUUGU
This is an RNA transcript of Amphiprion ocellaris (clown anemonefish), 3638 nucleotides long. It is a transcript of the gene named U-box domain containing 5, with no coding region annotated. The transcript has 8 exons. The record is from RefSeq and is a predicted model, not a curated record. NCBI's taxonomy places the organism in Eukaryota, Metazoa, Chordata, Actinopteri, Pomacentridae.